GAUGAACGCUGGCGGCGUGCCUAAUACAUGCAAGUCGAACGCUGAGGAGAGGAGCUUGCUCUUCUUGGAUUAGUUGCGAACGGGUGAGUAACGCGUAGAUAACCUGCCUUUUAGCCUGGGAUAACUACUGGAAACGAUAGCUAAUACCGCAUAAUAUUUUAUAACCCAUGGCACUUAUUUGAAAGGGGCAUUUGCUGCACUACAAGAUUGACCUGCGCUGUAUUAGGUAGUAGGUAAGGUAACGGCUUACCAAGGCAACGAUACGUAGCCGACCUGAGAGGUUGAUCGGCCACCCUGGAACUGAGACACGGUCCAGACUCCUACGGGAGGCAGCAGUGGGGAAUCUCCGGAAAGGGGCGAAAGCCUGACGAACAAACGCGGCUGGGUGGAUGAGGUUUUUCGGAUCGUAAAACCCGUUGUUUGGGAAAGAACAGUGGGAGAGUGAACUAUGCACGUCGUGACGGUACCUAACCAGAAAGACACGGCUAACUACGUG
RNAcentral lists this ribosomal RNA (496 nucleotides) under uncultured bacterium. RNAcentral's name for it is "partial 16S ribosomal RNA". It matches the Rfam family "Bacterial small subunit ribosomal RNA", at positions 28 to 507 of the family's 1533-position model. The record is from RNAcentral.